UACACAUGCAGUCGAACGUACAGCCCUUCGGGUGCUGACGAGUGGCGACGGUGAGUAUACGUAGAUCUGCCUGUGAGCGGGAUAGCCUAGGAAACUUAGGGUAAUACCGCAUAAGCCUGAGAAGGGAAAGCCGGGGAGCCGCAAGGUCCUGGCGCAAUAAGAUGAGCCUACGUCGGAUUAGCUAGUUGGUGGGGUAAAGGCCUACCAAGGCGACGAUCCGUAGCUGGUCUGAGAGGACGACCAGCCACACUGGGACUGAGACACGGCCCAGACUCCUACGGGAGGCAGCAGUGGGGAAUAUUGGACAAUGGGCGGAAGCCUGAUCCAGCAAUGCCGCGUGUGUGAAGAAGGCCUGAGGGUUGUAAAGCACUUUCAGUGGGGAGAAAGAGGCUGUUGUUAAUACCAACGGCGGAUGAUGUUACCCACAGAAGAAGCACCGGCUAACUCUGUGCCAGCAGCCGCGGUAAU
RNAcentral lists this ribosomal RNA (468 nucleotides) under uncultured bacterium. RNAcentral's name for it is "bacterial SSU rRNA". It matches the Rfam family "Bacterial small subunit ribosomal RNA", at positions 50 to 524 of the family's 1533-position model. The record is from RNAcentral.